This 485-nucleotide ribosomal RNA is filed under the name uncultured Methanosarcinaceae archaeon. RNAcentral's name for it is "bacterial SSU rRNA". It matches the Rfam family "Archaeal small subunit ribosomal RNA", at positions 336 to 824 of the family's 1478-position model. Lineage: Archaea; Methanobacteriati; Methanobacteriota; Methanomicrobia; Methanosarcinales; Methanosarcinaceae. The record is from RNAcentral.
CAGGCGCGAAAACUUCGCAAUGGGGGAAACCCCGACGAGGGAAUUCCAAGUGCCAGCACUUUGUGUUGGCUGUUCUUCUGUCUAAAAAACAGGAGGAGUAAGGGGCGGGUAAGACGGGUGCCAGCCGCCGCGGUAAUACCCGCGCCCCCAGUGGUGGUCGAUAUUAUUGAGCCUAAAACGUCCGUAGCCGGUCUUCUAAAUCCUUGGGUAAAUCGGGCAGCUCAACUGUCCGAAUUCCGGGGAGACUGGGAGACUUGGGACCGGGAGAGGUCAGAGGUACUUCUGGGGUAGGGGUAAAAUCCUGUAAUCCUGGAAGGACCACCGGUGGCGAAGGCGUCUGACUAGAACGGAUCCGACGGUGAGGGACGAAGCCCUGGGGCGCAAACGGGAUUAGAUACCCCGGUAGUCCAGGGUGUAAACGCUGCGGGCUUGGUGUUGGGGGUCCUUAGUGGGCGCCCAGUGCCGGAGAGAAGUUGUAAGCCUGC